AAAGUUAAUAUUUAUUAAUUUAUGUUUAUUUAUUGGUAAUUUUUAAUAAAAAUAAUUUUAUAGUUAAAUUUUUAGUAUAUUUUAUAGAAAUAAUUAAUUUAAUGAUAGUUUAAUAGUAUUGUGAAAGAAAAUUGAAAUAGGUUGAAAAUUUAUUUGUUAAAAAGAAAUAUUUAUUUUAUGUACCUUUUGUAUCAGGGUUUAUUAAUUAAGUUUUAUUAAUAUAUGAAUUUCUCGAAUUUAAAAGAUUUAAUAAAUUAUUAAAGUUAAUGUUGAAUAAUUAUUUUAAAUAAUUUAUUAGAAAUGAAAUGUUAUUCGUUUUUAAAUAUAUCUAGUUUUUUAAGAAAUAAAUUUAAUUUACAUAUAUUAAAUAUAGUACUUUAUUUAGUUAAAAGUAUUAUUUUAAUAUAUGAAUAUAUUAAGGGAUAAGCUUUAAUUUAAUUUCUAUAAUAAAUUUAUAAAAGAUUAUAAGUGUAGGGUUAGAAAUAUCCAUUACUAUAAAGUUUGUUUUAAUUUAUAGAUUAUUUUUAUAAUUUACUUUUAUUUAGAUUUUUUAUUAAAAUAAUUAUUUUAAUUAAGAAAAUAAUGAAAUAAUGAUAAAAUUAGUAUAAAUAAUUGUUUAUUUUAAUUUUUUAAAUAGAUUAAAUUAAGGAAUUCAGCAAAUUAAUACUCACCUGUUUAACAAAAACAUGUCUUUUUGAUUAUAAUUUAAAGUCUAACCUGCCCACUGAAUAUUUUGAAGGGCCGCGGUAUUUUGACUGUGCAAAGGUAGCAUAAUCAUUAGUCUUUUAAUUGGAGGCUUGUAUGAAUGGUUGGAUGAGGUAUUAACUGUCUCAAUUUAAUAAAUAAUAGAAUUUUAUUUUUAAGUUAAAAAGCUUAAAUUUUAUUAAAAGACGAGAAGACCCUAUAGAUCUUUAUAAUUAAUUUUAUAAUAAUUUUUUAGAUUAAAUUUAUUUUUAUAAGAUAAAUUAUUAUAUUGGGGUGAUAAAAAAAUUUAUAAAACUUUUUUUAUAUUAAAACAAUGAUAUUUGAUUAAUUGAUCCAUUUUUUGUGAUUAUAAGAUUAAGUUACCUUAGGGAUAACAGCGUAAUUUUUUUGGAGAGUUCAUAUCGAUAAAAAAGAUUGCGACCUCGAUGUUGAAUUAAAGGUUAAUUUUAGGUGUAGAAGUUUAAAAUUUUGGUCUGUUCGACCAUUAAAUCUUUACAUGAUUUGAGUUCAAACCGGCGUGAGCCAGGUUGGUUUCUAUCUUUAAUUAAAUAAAAUAUCUUAGUACGAAAGGACCAGAUAUUUAAAAUAUUUUUUAAAAAUGAAUAAUAUUAAU
This 1318-nucleotide ribosomal RNA is filed under the name Parachauliodes continentalis. RNAcentral describes it as "16S ribosomal RNA". The stretch from base 1075 to 1234 matches the Rfam family "Archaeal large subunit ribosomal RNA", at positions 2542 to 2701 of the family's 2987-position model. The record is from RNAcentral. Lineage: Eukaryota; Metazoa; Arthropoda; Insecta; Megaloptera; Corydalidae.